GACGAACGCUGGCGGCGUGCUUAACACAUGCAAGUCGAACGGAAAGGCCCUGCUUUUGUGGGGUGCUCGAGUGGCGAACGGGUGAGUAACACGUGAGUAACCUGCCCUUGACUUUGGGAUAACUUCAGGAAACUGGGGCUAAUACCGGAUAGGAGCUCCUGCUGCAUGGUGGGGGUUGGAAAGUUUCGGCGGUUGGGGAUGGACUCGCGGCUUAUCAGCUUGUUGGUGGGGUAGUGGCUUACCAAGGCUUUGACGGGUAGCCGGCCUGAGAGGGUGACCGGACACAGGGGGACGGAGAUACGGACCAGACUCCGACGGGAGGCAGGAGGGGGGAAUAUGGCAGAAGGGGCGGAAGCCUGAUGCAGCAACGCCGGGUGCGGGAUGACGGGCUUCGGGGUGUAAACCGCUUUCGCCUGUGACGAAGCGUGAGGGACGGUAAUGGGUAAAGAAGCACCGGCUAACUACGUG
This 468-nucleotide ribosomal RNA is filed under the name uncultured bacterium. Its description in RNAcentral is "partial 16S ribosomal RNA". It matches the Rfam family "Bacterial small subunit ribosomal RNA", at positions 28 to 507 of the family's 1533-position model. The record is from RNAcentral.